This 253-nucleotide ribosomal RNA is filed under the name uncultured bacterium. RNAcentral's name for it is "partial 16S ribosomal RNA". It matches the Rfam family "Bacterial small subunit ribosomal RNA", at positions 524 to 776 of the family's 1533-position model. The record is from RNAcentral.
UACGUAGGGUGCAAGCGUUGUCCGGAAUUAUUGGGCGUAAAGAGCUCGUAGGCGGUUUGUCGCGUCUGCUGUGAAAACUCGGGGCUUAACUCCGGGCCUGCAGUGGGUACGGGCAGACUAGAGUGCGGUAGGGGAGACUGGAAUUCCUGGUGUAGCGGUGAAAUGCGCAGAUAUCAGGAGGAACACCGGCGGCGAAGGCGGCCCUCUGGAUCGUUGCUGACGCUGAGACGCGAAAGCGUGGGGAGCAAACAGG